AAAUUAAAUCGUUUCACCAUUUCUAUGUCUAUGCCUAUAUUUUACAGUCUAUGGUCUACGCACGAUUUCAGAUCACAUGGCCGUUUGUAUCAUCAUCUGGUAGGCUACAUGGUUCAGUCAUAUUUAUGUACUUUUCAUUUGCUCUUGUUUUCAGAUUUAAUAUUAUUAAGUUUUAUUAAUGUUUUCGUUUUUUUGGAUGUAUGUGAAGGCUUUUUAAGGGACUUUGUGUUCACUCAACGGCUAGAAAGCACAAAAGUUCACCUGCCGAAUGAGUUCCCGCGUCUGACCACAAGAUGGCGUCCACAGCAGAAAGAGCAAGAGUCUCCUUGUGCUGAACGGUUUAACAGCACCUCCACAUCACCUGCAUCAGAGUGUGUUUUCUGCUGGAAUCUGCUGUUCAGUGUGUGUUCGGUGUGUGUUCUCCUCUUCUCCAUCUGCGUCUACUGCCUCUGUCAGAAGAAAACUACAGUCUAUGGUCUACGCACGAUUUCAGAUCACAUGGCCGUUUGUAUCAUCAUCUGGUAGGCUACAUGGUUCAGUCAUAUUUAUGUACUUUUCAUUUGCUCUUGUUUUCAGAUUUAAUAUUAUUAAGUUUUAUUAAUGUUUUCGUUUUUUUGGAUGUAUGUGAAGGCUUUUUAAGGGACUUUGUGUUCACUCAACGGCUAGAAAGCACAAAAGUUCACCUGCCGAAUGAGUUCCCGCGUCUGACCACAAGAUGGCGUCCACAGCAGAAAGAGCAAGAGUCUCCUUGUGCUGAACGGUUUAACAGCACCUCCACAUCACCUGCAUCAGAGUGUGUUUUCUGCUGGAAUCUGCUGUUCAGUGUGUGUUCGGUGUGUGUUCUCCUCUUCUCCAUCUGCGUCUACUGCCUCUGUCAGAAGAAAACUACAGUCUAUGGUCUACGCACGAUUUCAGAUCACAUGGCCGUUUGUAUCAUCAUCUGGCUUUUUAAGGGACUUUGUGUUCACUCAACGGCUAGAAAGCACAAAAGUUCACCUGCCGAAUGAGUUCCCGCGUCUGACCACAAGAUGGCGUCCACAGCAGAAAGAGCAAGAGUCUCCUUGUGCUGAACGGUUUAACAGCACCUCCACAUCACCUGCAUCAGAGUGUGUUUUCUGCUGGAAUCUGCUGUUCAGUGUGUGUUCGGUGUGUGUUCUCCUCUUCUCCAUCUGCGUCUACUGCCUCUGUCAGAAGAAAACUACAGUUUCUGUAGGUUCUGGGGCUGAGAACAGACAUGUUGAGGCUGGUGAUGAAGUGUGUUAUGCUUCAUUAGACAUGCCUUCCACACAGCAACAAAGGCAGAGGAAUAAAAGAGCUCAGAGUUCAGACUUCAGUAUUUAUUCUAAUGUCAGAACCAGCAGAAUGUAAAGUAGAGUAAACUAAAGUCAUUGUUCUUUAGUAGAAAUAUGAUUCAAAAGAGUGUUAAUGACAAUGUUCUGGCAUCUGCAUCCUAUUUUCAUUGAUUCUAAUAUUGUAAGUUUUUAAUGAUUAAAAAUGUAAAUACAUUUAAGAAAGGUUAAAUGUUUUUUCCAAAUAUUUGACUUGCAGUCUCAGAAAGGACUCAGUGUUGUUUCUGGGUCUCUCAGUUUAAUAUAAUUUAAGCCAAUCACAUGAGUGCAUAUGCAGUAGUACUCCCAGCUAAAACUGAAGUUCUUAAACUCUUUUCAUGCCACAAAACAAACAUCUCCCUGCUACAACAACAGAAAUGUAGAAUGCAAAUGUACAUCUAACAGAGCUCUGAACAUUCCUAAUAUUAAAAAAA
Molecule: non-coding RNA, 1762 nt
Organism: Danio rerio (zebrafish)
Lineage: Eukaryota; Metazoa; Chordata; Actinopteri; Cypriniformes; Danionidae
Source: RefSeq, a predicted model, not a curated record